Molecule: ribosomal RNA, 270 nt
Filed under: uncultured bacterium
Lineage: Bacteria
Description: partial 16S ribosomal RNA
Rfam family: Bacterial small subunit ribosomal RNA
Source: RNAcentral
GUCACGCCCUAAACGAUGUCAACUGGAUGUUGGAGGGGUUAAACCCGUUUAAGUUAGUUCGUAGCUAACGCGAGAAGUUGACCGCCUGGGGAGUACGGCCGCAAGGCUAAAACUCAAAGGAAUUGACGGGGACCCGCACAAGCGGUGGAUGAUGUGGAUUAAUUCGAUGCAACGCGAAAAACCUUACCUACCCUUGACAUGUCAGGAAUCCUGGAGAGAUCUGGGAGUGCUCGAAAGAGAGCCUGAACACAGGUGCUGCAUGGCUGUCGU